This 73-nucleotide transfer RNA is filed under the name Chelodina burrungandjii. RNAcentral describes it as "tRNA-Asn". Lineage: Eukaryota; Metazoa; Chordata; Testudines; Chelidae. The record is from RNAcentral.
UAGAUAAAGGCCUGUUGGUUUAGGUUUUUAGCUGUUAACUAAAAUGUUGUGGGAUCGAGGCCCACUUAUCUAU